CCUCGGCUAGCGUGUCGCGUGCGUAACCAGGGGGGCGACCUUAGCGAGGCGGGCCGGGACGCGGAUUCCUCGCUCCGCGGUGCCUGGGCGCCCGCCGCAACCUCCAGACCCGCCAAGCCCCGGCCGGCACGAGCCGUUCCGCGAGCAGGGACAGCGACGAGGAUCAAAUGGACCUUUUAUGCCUCUGAAUGUUGCAGGAGAGGGAUGGACAUUGCAGAGCACAUGAGUUCGAGAAAGCUCAGGACUGGGGGAAGUUGCCAUCCUGCCGCCUGAUUCUAUUGUACAAGCCCAAAUGUCUAAUGAGCACAAGACACCGAAGGAGGGACAGAAGCCUGGUGUAAAGGGGAGGACCGUGUUUUACCACUGGGAAGAAAGAGAGUGGUUGGGAACCCAGGUGCUCACCUCCCCAGAAUCAUUCCUCUGCUGGAAAUCCCCAUCAUACACAACCUGUACAGGAGAAUGGUCCAAGGAGGUAUCACCAAUGUAACUCCACUGAGCACAUGAGAAAUAAGUGCCCUAAGAUAAACUCAGCUCACACCCCAUCCAACGCAAGUUAAUGCAACUUUCAUUAACAUAGAGGAACAUGUGGGGCCACUGAUUAAUUUUGUGAGGCCUGAGCCUAAGGAAGUGGACCUGGAGUUUAUCAAGGUUGCCAAUAUAUAUUGCAAGGAAUGGGUAGCCUCAAGGGACAUUGGAGUACAAAUUUUUCAGGUCAAGGAAAGCGUAUUCAGAAAAACUGGCAAGUUACCUGACCAGAAGGUAGAGCUCCUGGCAUUAGAGAAAUAUUAAAUAGCUGUACCUCUGGCUAAGGUGCAUUUCCAAUUAGGAGGCUUGAAAGGUACCUUGAAAGUUGCGAUAUUAAACAGCACUUCCACAGCAAUGCUGGUGGGAAAUUAUAUUUUUAGUAUGUUCACAGCUGUUAAUAUUGUAACCCAUAGAAGAGAAUUGUGCAGACAAAGGAGCAGCUGUGGGAGAAGGGGACAGCCCCAGCUGAGCAAGAGGAAGCAAAGUGCUUUCAGAUAUGGGAGGGAUUGAAGCCAGCUCCUGCAUAGCAAAGGAAAGUAGAAUCCUCUGAGACUGGGGGAGGGGGAAUUAACCCCUGCUACUGAAGAAUCUGUCCCAGUUGUCAGCUGCUAGCAUUUUGCAGAUGAACCAAGGGUAGCCUGCACUCUAGAGUGCAUAUGGGGAUAUGUGCUGAAGGGAACCCCAGUGAGGAGAAAUGGAGAAAGUACAAGUAAGCUCAUGGGGAAAAGUGUAAUCCCUGGGAAACCUUAGAAGUGGCUGAUUGUGCCUGCCCAGCACUGUGGGGAAUUAAUUUUGUUAACACAUGAUUUUCCUUUUACUGGUCACUUAGAGCCACGAAAAUCUAUGAGCCGUUUAAAAAAAAAAUUACUGGCCAGAGUACAAAAUGAGGGGAGAGAUUAUUGCAGGUCUUGUGAAUUAUGUCAAAAAAGACCUGCAGGACUGCAGAAAGUUCCUCUUUGCCCUUUGCCUGUAAUACUAGAGGUGUUUUAUAGGGUAGCAAUGGGCGUUGUGGGUCCUAUGCUACACCCCACCCAAAGGGGGAAGAAAUAUAUCCAAGUGGUAGUGGAUUUUGCCAUCGAUAUCCGAAAGCAGUUGCUCUAUUGACAAAGCCUGUUUCUGUGGCAAAAAGCCCUUUUCAUUAUUUUUAGCAGAGUGUGUUUUCUUAAAAAUAUUUUAUCAGAUCAUUAGUCAGAUUUCAUGUCUCAGCUGUUCAGUGACUUAUGGAAGUUGUGUGUGGGAUAAAACAACUAAAAGCUGCCCCAUAUUACCUAGAGACAAAUGGUGUGGUGGAGAGGUUCAGUGGGACACUGAAAUCAAAUCUGAGGAUGCAUGCCCGCAGGUGGGACUAAGAUUAGGAUGAAAUGUUACACUAUUUGUUGUUAAUAAGGAAGUGCCACAAGAAUCUACAGUUUGGCCCAUUUGAUCUUCUAUACGGAGGGAAAGUGAGGGGACUCCUAGCUCUUAUCAGAGACUUCUGGGAAGGAGAUACUGAGACAGAAAGGUAGCCUAUAACUGAAUAUGUACAAAGGUUCAAGCAAGAGUUAAAGGACAUGCUGGAAGUGGUUCAGAGUCACCUUUUGUUUGGCCUGACUGUCCCUGUGGUAUGGCAUGACCAAUAUAUUUGUAAAUGCUCUUUGAAGUAGGAGACUGAGAGUUGCUACUUAUCCCUGUGGAAAAAAAUGCAAAACUCGUGAAAGGGACCUUUUGAAAUGAUAGAAGAGGUAACUGAAUGUACAUACAUGCAAAAGACCUCACAGUAAUGCUGCCACACAGCUGGUGCAUAUAAACAGAUUUAAAGUUGAUCACAAGAGAGAAGCCAUGAUAAACAUAAUCUGUUGUUUAGAGGGGGAAACUGAGGAAACCUCAUUGAUUUGAUGGCUGAAUGCCAAACUGGCUCAUCUCUGGAAAGCCUCAAUAACUACAGUGAGUUACUAUAAGUUGAGAAGGCAGAGGUGUUAUCUGUACUUCAAGCACACAGACAAGUGUUUUCUAACAAGCCAGGGAAGACUCAUUUGCUGACUCAUAAGAUCGUUACUGUAGGAUCACAGCCACUUCCCAGCAGGGCGUACUGUACCACUGGCAAGGUACAAGAGCAAACUUGCACAGAGAUGCAGAGCAUGCUGGACCUGGGAGUGAUUACAGAGUCUGACUGCUCUUGGGCAUCACCUGUGGUCUUUGUUACUAAGACAGACAACACUGUAAGGUUUUGGGUUGAGUAUAGGAAACUCAGUGCUGUCAUGGUGCCAGAUGCUUAUUCUAUGCCUAGAAUUGAUGAUAUGCUGGAUAUCUUAAGAAAAGCUAACUAUAUCAGUUUUUUUUAUUUAAAGGAUGCUGGAAAAUUCUUCAGAUAAUGCUCAGAAAAAAAUCUGCUUUUAUUAGUGAUGUGGGACUGUAUGAGUUUUAAAUGGAUUACAGGACUUCGCAAAGGCCUGUGUCCACAAUAUAGCGGUGACAAAACCUCUCACUGAUCUGAAUUGCACCCAAAGUGUGACAACAGACAAUCCUUAAAGGAAAACCCUCUUUCAUCAGAGCCUUCUAGAUCUGUGCAAAAAUAAAAUCAUCUCCCAACAGUUUGGUAAUGUGUGAACAACAUAUGGGUUAUUUUAAUGCACUGUUUUAUAGUUCAGAACUUCUUUUUUUAUUCUAUUAGGUUUUUUUUUAAAGUAUGACAUUUCCUACUUAUUAAAGAUGUAAUUUUGUCUUCUAAAAUACGCGUGCUUAGCUGGGGAAAUUCAGUUCAGCUGGGCUUGUUGAGAGGUAUCUAAGCUGUCUUCCUGUGGUAUAGAUUUGAUAUGCUCCCUUCCCUUGUGGGCUUUGCUGUGGAUUUUAAAAUUAUUUUCACAAUAAAAAUAUACAAAAUC
This is a long non-coding RNA of Caretta caretta (loggerhead turtle), 3386 nucleotides long. RefSeq lists it as uncharacterized. Lineage: Eukaryota; Metazoa; Chordata; Testudines; Cheloniidae. The record is from RefSeq and is a predicted model, not a curated record.